UACGUAGGGGGCAAGCGUUGUCCGGAUUUAUUGGGCGUAAAGAGCGUGUAGGCGGCCAGACAGGUCUGCUGUGAAAACUCGAGGCUCAACCUCGAGACGCCGGUGGAAACCGUCUGGCUAGAGUCCGGAAGAGGAGAGUGGAAUUCCUGGUGUAGCGGUGAAAUGCGCAGAUAUCAGGAGGAACACCGGUGGCGAAGGCGGGUCUCUGGGCAGUAACUGACGCUGAGGAGCGAAAGCGUGGGGAGCGAACAGG
This 253-nucleotide ribosomal RNA is filed under the name uncultured bacterium. Its description in RNAcentral is "partial 16S ribosomal RNA". It matches the Rfam family "Bacterial small subunit ribosomal RNA", at positions 524 to 776 of the family's 1533-position model. The record is from RNAcentral.